CAGCCGCCACGGUAAUACAGAGGGUGCGAGCGUUAAUCGGAUUUACUGGGCGUAAAGCGUGCGUAGGCGGCUUCUUAAGUCGGAUGUGAAAUCCCUGAGCUUAACUUAGGAAUUGCAUUCGAUACUGGGAAGCUAGAGUAUGGGAGAGGAUGGUAGAAUUCCAGGUGUAGCGGUGAAAUGCGUAGAGAUCUGGAGGAAUACCGAUGGCGAAGGCAGCCAUCUGGCCUAAUACUGACGCUGAGGUACGAAAGCAUGGGGAGCAAACAGGAUUAGAUACCCGUGUAGUCCCUGUCUCUUAUAA
Molecule: ribosomal RNA, 301 nt
Filed under: uncultured bacterium
Lineage: Bacteria
Description: partial 16S ribosomal RNA
Rfam family: Bacterial small subunit ribosomal RNA
Source: RNAcentral